Molecule: long non-coding RNA, 912 nt
Organism: Musca domestica (house fly)
Lineage: Eukaryota; Metazoa; Arthropoda; Insecta; Diptera; Muscidae
Exons: 3
Source: RefSeq, a predicted model, not a curated record
UCCCUCCGAGAACACCUCUCGCCAUGACGUCUACUCAUACUGGACGUCCCAGAUCUGACCCUUGACUUACCGCAUUUUAUACCAUUACCACCACCUUUUAAAAAGGGCUUUAAGCCAAGGACAUAUUUGUCUUCUAUAUAAAAUUGGUACAUUUUAUUUAAACUAUUUAAAUACCCAAAUAACAAUUCAAAAAAAAUUACAUGCUAACUUUAAUGUUUGCGUUCAAAUAUAAUAAUGAUUUCAAUUCAAUGAAUAAAUACUAUUUUGCCAAAGAUUACAAAAAAACUUUUCUUUUUCUUCUUUUAGAUUGCGCUUUCUGAUGACAAAAAUUAGGGUGCAAUAAAGGCAGCUUGCAAUUGUGGUUCUUCCCAACAAGUAUGUACGAAAGGCAAACAAAGAUGGAGUGUCGAUAGCACUUAAAAUCGACGAACGGAUUAAAAGCCUGGUUACCUAACCUUGAAUAGAGCUCUGUUCAACGUCGUGUACCUACAGACUAACCAAAAGAAAAAACCGCGGAAUUUAAUUAUGAUGCUUCGUCGUCCGUCUGUCUGUCCGAGGUUUCUUGUAUAAAAUGUCGGUUGGGAAUACCAAGCCACGCUGGGUUAGCAAUGGCGCAAAAUCAGCGGCUCCCUCGAUGGAUUGGAUGGGCGAUGGUGUGGCUUGUAGGCUCCAAUUCUCCAUGAAUUUUUAGGUUUAAGAUUUAUUUUCUUGGUUUAGAUUUUUAGUUAAUUGUUUUGGUUUUUCUUUUCAAUUUUGUUAAAUUGUUUCCAAACUUUGUUUAAUUUUAAAAAAAGUUCAAUUUUUCUUUUAAUUUUCCAUUUUUGUGAAAACUAUUUGUUUUGUUAUAAGUUUUCUUUCAAUUUUUAGCCUUUUGUUGUUAAAUUUUGUUAAAUUAUUUUAAGGCUUCCAAUU